CCCUUAGAUGUUCUGGGCCGCACGCGCGCUACACUGAUGCAUUCAACGAGCCUAUCCUUGACCGACAGGUCCGGGUAAUCUUUGAAUCUGCAUCGUGACGGGGAUAGAUUAUUGCAAUUAUUAAUCUUCAACGAGGAAUGCCUAGUAGGCGCAAGUCAUCAGCUUGCGUCGAUUACGUCCCUGCCCUUUGUACACACCGCCCGUCGCUCCUACCGAUUGAUUGAUCCGGUGAAUUACAUAGAAUUUUGCGUUUUACAUGACGGAAGAUGAAGUGUUUUAAACCUUAUCAUUUAGAGGAAGGAGAAGUCGUAACA
Molecule: ribosomal RNA, 314 nt
Filed under: uncultured eukaryote
Lineage: Eukaryota
Description: partial 18S ribosomal RNA
Rfam family: Eukaryotic small subunit ribosomal RNA
Source: RNAcentral